GACGAACGCUGGCGGCGUGCUUAACACAUGCAAGUCGAACGAUGAACCCGGAGCUUGCUCCGGCGGAUUAGUGGCGAACGGGUGAGUAACACGUGAGUAACCUGCCCUUGACUCUGGGAUAACUGCGGGAAACUGUAGCUAAUACCGGAUACGACCCUCGGCGGCAUCGCCAGGGGGUGGAAAGAAUUUCGGUCAAGGAUGGACUCGCGGCCUAUCAGCUAGUUGGGGAGGUAACGGCUCACCAAGGCGACGACGGGUAGCCGGCCUGAGAGGGUGACCGGCCACACUGGGACUGAGACACGGCCCAGACUCCUACGGGAGGCAGCAGUGGGGAAUAUUGCACAAUGGGCGCAAGCCUGAUGCAGCAACGCCGCGUGAGGGAUGACGGCCUUCGGGUUGUGAACCUCUUUUAGUAGGGAAGAAGCGAAAGUGACGGUACCUGCAGAAAAAGCACCGGCUAACUACGUGCCAGCCGCCGCCGUAA
RNAcentral lists this ribosomal RNA (484 nucleotides) under uncultured bacterium. RNAcentral describes it as "partial 16S ribosomal RNA". It matches the Rfam family "Bacterial small subunit ribosomal RNA", at positions 28 to 523 of the family's 1533-position model. The record is from RNAcentral.